AAAAUAGGUGAACAAAGCUUUGAAGAAGGGUUGGUAUAUCUAGCGAGCGUUCGCCACAAGAGAUGACAUUUGCGACCGUUUGUAUGGCAGUUUUAGUGUAUUUGGAGGACCCCUUUUUUUCUUGUAAAACUAUCAUGAUAUAUCCGUUAAUAUUGAAGUGCAAAAAAGUCAUCCAAACUACUACAUAUCGUAGGGUCAAAAUCGUGUGGCAGCUAGGGCGUUCGCUGGCAGUUUCUUCUCGGCGAACGUUAGCCAGUUACUAAUUCCGAAAAAGAAAAACAGGUGAGCGCAUCUUCCUACCCAAAUCUACCGCGACCAUGGAUGCGGCGGCCGGGGUGGGGGGCCUGGGGCCAUGGCCCGGGGACGUUGCGGAGGCGGAGAAUCGCCGCACGUACGCCGCCUGAGUGUCCAGGCUAAACUAAACGCAGCAGAAUUUCCCUUUACAAGACCAUGUUACAAGCUAUCCGGUGCUCAACUUUGUUCCUUUCCUCAAAUGCUGAAACAGAGUGGUAUAAAUAUUUGCAAACUCAAAUAGCCCCUAGUCCACCCACAGGCAUUCUGCACACAAACACAAUAGUAUCAUUACAUCAAGAAGACCCAAUCAAACCUACGGCGCAUUUCACUGUCCAGAGGCUUCAGAACCAGAGGCUUCUGCCAUAUACAGGAUUUCAUUGGGCGGAAGUGAUGCAUGAUCCAACACCACGAGCUCUAGUUCAUCUGUUGAUCGGAGUGUAGGUCUGAUCCAGUGGCAACAACCAGUGGAGGAGGCCUGAACAAGCCCACGUAUUUCUGAAAAUCCAGUCAUAUUUGCUAACUUCCACAUCUUCAACUGCAGCUGCAUUGCCAGGAAGUUUUACUCAUUGUUGGAGAGGGUAGGAUGCGGUUGAAGAGUGAAGCCGGUAAUAGCAGAGCAUGGAGAGGCAAGUUAAAUUUCUGCUGGCAUUAGCACCUGCAAAGUUGUGAUGAGGAACGAAGGAACCUUGCGGGAGAAAGUUUCAGAACAUCCACGCUUUUCUCUGCAAAUUGACAGCUGAGGGUGAGCAACAGGCGGAGCUGGACGCACCAUGGAGUUUCAACAUGGGAAGAUGGAAUGGAACACUGCUUCUAAAAGCAGGAUUGAAACAACCCGCUUCGCUGUAUGUUGGUUUCUAUGGAGAGAGCAAGUGAAAUCGUCGAAGAGCUGAUAAAACAGAGACAUAGACUGCAUAACUCAUCGACGUUGCGACAACAUUCUCUGCGCUUGUACAGGUGGGAUGGCACAACUGUUGGUCUGGUCAGCUAAGACAGCAGUCAGACUGAGUCGUGAUGGGAGUCGAAGGCGAAGGUCAGAACUUUCUGUCAGAUGGAACAAUGAAUGACAGAAUGAAUAAUCGUGAUGGGAGUAUGAUACACAUUGUUUUCGCUAUUGUAUUUCUGAGUGCCAGCUAGAGAUGGCAUCGGACCAAUGUACAGUAUUUGUGAUGUACAUGCUUGUUUUCAUGGUGCACUCAGAAUCGCUGUAUGUGUGCCAAUAAGAUAGCUAAUAAUUGCUUGGCUUGUUUGCAUAUCUAAUAAAUGCUACAUGUUCUUCACUUGAUAUUACCUUACUCUGCAUUUGUCAGAUUUUGCGA
Long non-coding RNA from Aegilops tauschii subsp. strangulata, 1610 nucleotides. RefSeq lists it as uncharacterized. NCBI's taxonomy places the organism in Eukaryota, Viridiplantae, Streptophyta, Magnoliopsida, Poales, Poaceae. The record is from RefSeq and is a predicted model, not a curated record.